CUUCGGAGCUCAAUAAUGGCGUCGAGCGGGCGUAGCAAUACGUCAGCGGCAGACGGGUGAGUAACGCGUGGGAACGUACCUUUUGGUUCGGAACAACACAGGGAAACUUGUGCUAAUACCGGAUAAGCCCUUACGGGGAAAGAUUUAUCGCCGAAAGAUCGGCCCGCGUCUGAUUAGCUAGUUGGUGAGGUAAUGGCUCACCAAGGCGACGAUCAGUAGCUGGUCUGAGAGGAUGAUCAGCCACAUUGGGACUGAGACACGGCCCAAACUCCUACGGGAGGCAGCAGUGGGGAAUAUUGGACAAUGGGGGCAACCCUGAUCCAGCCAUGCCGCGUGAGUGAUGAAGGCCCUAGGGUUGUAAAGCUCUUUUGUGCGGGAAGAUAAUGACGGUACCGCAAGAAUAAGCCCCGGCUAACUUCGUGCCAGCAGCCGCGGUAAUACGAAGGGGGCUAGCGUUGCUCGGAAUCACUGGGCGUAAAGGGUGCGUAGGCGGGUCUUUAAGUCAGGGGUGAAAUCCUGGAGCUCAACUCCAGAACUGCCUUUGAUACUGAAGAUCUUGAGUCCGGGAGAGGUGAGUGGAACUGCGAGUGUAGAGGUGAAAUUCGUAGAUAUUCGCAAGAACACCAUGGCGAAGGCGGCUCACUGGGCCGGUACUGACGCUGAGGCCGGAAGCGUGGGGAGCAAACAGGAUUAGAUACCUGGUAGUCACGCCGUAACGAUGAAUGCCACCGGUAGUGGGUUUACUCACUAGUGCGCACUACGCUUUAGCAUCGGCUGGGAU
RNAcentral lists this ribosomal RNA (781 nucleotides) under Bradyrhizobium japonicum. RNAcentral's name for it is "bacterial SSU rRNA". It matches the Rfam family "Bacterial small subunit ribosomal RNA", at positions 36 to 879 of the family's 1533-position model. Lineage: Bacteria; Pseudomonadati; Pseudomonadota; Alphaproteobacteria; Hyphomicrobiales; Nitrobacteraceae. The record is from RNAcentral.